Molecule: long non-coding RNA, 444 nt
Filed under: Bos taurus (domestic cattle)
Lineage: Eukaryota; Metazoa; Chordata; Mammalia; Artiodactyla; Bovidae
Description: long non-coding RNA NONBTAT015691
Source: RNAcentral
GAGAAAUCUGAGAUAUACAUGUAGAGCCCAGUUGGAAGCAGCUAAAGAGAAAAGAAGAAAAAUUAACUGGGAAGUUUGAUAUGCAGUUACAGUAUGGUAGCCUCAGUGGCACGCACUCUUCAUUCCUACCCAUUCUAGUUGUUCUUUCUUAGCUGAAGAAACUAGAAAACUGUAAACUUUAUAUAUUUCCUAGAUCCCCCUGUGGCUAUGAUUCUGAGUGUCAAUUAGAUUUGGAAGUAGAAAUUAGGUAGAGGCCAGUCCUCUUCAACUUCAAACGUUUCUGCCUGACAAACAGGUUAUACGCCAGUAUGAUUUUUCUGUAGUGGUGUUUCAGGGCUCAAUUACUGGGUGUUAAAGACAAUUGUGCUGUGACUUCUUGACACUGAAUUGCAGCCUUGCUAGCGUUUUCCUAAACUGAGCUGUUUCGAUGAUGGCUUCUUGUUU